AUUGAACGCUGGCGGCAUGCUUUACACAUGCAAGUCGAGCGGCAGCGCGGGGGCAACCCUGGCGGCGAGCGGCGAACGGGUGAGUAAUGCAUCGGAACGUAUCCUCGAGUGGGGGAUAACCCAGCGAAAGUUGGGCUAAUACCGCAUGAGCUCUGAGGAGGAAAGCGGGGGACCUGCGAGGGCCUCGCGCUGGAGGAGCGGCCGAUGUCCGAUUAGCUAGUUGGUGGGGUAAAGGCUUACCAAGGCGACGAUCGGUAGCUGGUCUGAGAGGAUGAUCAGCCACACUGGGACUGAGACACGGCCCAGACUCCUACGGGAGGCAGCAGUGGGGAAUUUUGGACAAUGGGGGAAACCCUGAUCCAGCCAUGCCGCGUGAGUGAAGAAGGCCUUCGGGUUGUAAAGCUCUUUCGGACGGAACGAAAUGGGCGGGACUAAUACUCCUGUCUGAUGACGGUACCGUAAGAAGAAGCACCGGCUAACUACGUG
RNAcentral lists this ribosomal RNA (486 nucleotides) under uncultured bacterium. RNAcentral describes it as "partial 16S ribosomal RNA". It matches the Rfam family "Bacterial small subunit ribosomal RNA", at positions 29 to 507 of the family's 1533-position model. The record is from RNAcentral.